AUUGAACGCUGGCGGCAGGCCUAACACAUGCAAGUCGAACGGUAACAGGAAACAGCUUGCUGUUUCGCUGACGAGUGGCGGACGGGUGAGUAAUGUCUGUGAAACUGCCUGAUGGAGGGGGAUAACUACUGGAAACGGUAGCUAAUACCGCAUAACGUCGCAAGACCAAAGAGGGGGACCUUCGGGCCUCUUGCCAUCGGCUGUGCCCAGAUGGGAUUAGCUAGUAGGUGGGGUAACGGCUCACCUAGGCGACGAUCCCUAGCUGGUCUGAGAGGAUGACCAGCCACACUGGAACUGAGACACGGUCCAGACUCCUACGGGAGGCAGCAGUGGGGAAUAUUGCACAAUGGGCGCAAGCCUGAUGCAGCCAUGCCGCGUGUAUGAAGAAGGCCUUCGGGUUGUAAAGUACUUUCAGCGGGGAUGAAGGGAGUAAAGUUAAUACCUUUGCUCAUUGACGUUACCCGCAGAAGAAGCACCGGCUAACUCCGUG
Molecule: ribosomal RNA, 490 nt
Filed under: uncultured bacterium
Lineage: Bacteria
Description: partial 16S ribosomal RNA
Rfam family: Bacterial small subunit ribosomal RNA
Source: RNAcentral